CCUACGGGUGGCAGCAGUGGGGAAUAUUGCACAAUGGGGGAAACCCUGAUGCAGCGACGCCGCGUGAAGGAAGAAGUAUUUCGGUAUGUAAAGCUCUAUCAGCAGGGCAGAAAAUGACGGUAGCUGAGUAAGAAGCCCCGGCUAACUACGUGCCAGCAGCCGCGGUAAUACGUAGGGGGCAAGCGUUAUCCGGAUUUACUGGGUGUAAAGGGAGCGUAGACGGCAGUGCAAGUCUGGAGUGAAAGGCGGGGGCUCAACCCCAGGACUGCUCUGGAAACUGUACGGCUGGAGUGCAGGAGAGGUAAGUGGAAUUCCUAGGGUAGCGGUGAAAUGCGUAGAUAUUAGGAGGAACACCAGUGGCGAAGGCGGCUUACUGGACUGUAACUGACGUUGAGGCUCGAAAGCGUGGGGAGCAAACAGGAUUAGAUACCCUUGUAGUC
This 440-nucleotide ribosomal RNA is filed under the name uncultured bacterium. Its description in RNAcentral is "partial 16S ribosomal RNA". It matches the Rfam family "Bacterial small subunit ribosomal RNA", at positions 338 to 795 of the family's 1533-position model. The record is from RNAcentral.